CGGACAGGGGGGUCCCCGCCAUCCCGCGGGGCCUGUCCGAACGGGCCGCGCGGACUCCUGCGCCGGGCGGCCGGUGGUUGUCGCUCGGGGGUGAUCGCCG
RNAcentral lists this small RNA (100 nucleotides) under Streptomyces somaliensis DSM 40738. RNAcentral describes it as "che1 RNA". It matches the Rfam family "che1 RNA". The record is from Rfam by way of RNAcentral. Lineage: Bacteria; Bacillati; Actinomycetota; Actinomycetes; Kitasatosporales; Streptomycetaceae.